UUGGUACUAUUCCAUGAGAUUCAGGUUUAGUAAAAAUACAGCCACUGGCCAAUGAACUCACAAGUGUAGGUAGUGUUCUACAUGAGGGGCAAGUUUUUCGCUAACACCACAAGGGUCUCUGGCCCAAUGAGUGGAGUUUGAUAGUAAUACUUGCUACAAAU
Molecule: small nucleolar RNA, 161 nt
Organism: Delphinapterus leucas (beluga whale)
Lineage: Eukaryota; Metazoa; Chordata; Mammalia; Artiodactyla; Monodontidae
Source: Ensembl